This is a long non-coding RNA of Mya arenaria, 737 nucleotides long. RefSeq lists it as uncharacterized. The transcript has 4 exons. Lineage: Eukaryota; Metazoa; Mollusca; Bivalvia; Myida; Myidae. The record is from RefSeq and is a predicted model, not a curated record.
UAAGAUGUCGGGAAUGUGUUAGACGAAUGAUUUUGUUUUAUGGAGCUUUGAAGAGCGAUGAAUGGCACUAAAGUGGUGCCAAAUGGAUAUCUCAAACACCCAUUGUUGAUGUGUGAUGCUGAUAAUACAGAGACAGCUAGAGUGACAGAGUUUGAUGAAUAAACUUAAAUUAAAAAACAGAAAUAACCACCAUCUCUCUCAGAGGUCAUCUUUCUCAUUAUUGUGGGGAAACCUCAAAGGGCAUCAGGAAAACCUUCAUCAACCUCUUUGUGCCCAGUGGCUUGUGCAACAGUGUUUCAGAAAUUAUCAUUAAAAUGGGGAUAAUGGAUGACUGGCCACACAUAUGGGGCUAUGGACAAGCUUCAGAGCAGGCUGCCAGGUGGUGGUGUUAGUAGUUUAUACUCCGGGUCCCGGCGUGAGCACAUUGAAGGGUCCCAGAGUGACAGUUCAACCACCGCACACCUAUCCUGGGCAGAACCAGUACUAGGUGCCUUCACCUCUGCAAGGAACUGACAGCUUCUGUACAUGCCAGGUGCAGUGGUACAGUGCGAAUGGUCGUAGAAAGGAUUUCAUAACCAAUCACAACAGAGGUGACCUGGUCCGCCCGGGAAUCGAACCCGGGAUGUCCAAUUCAGAGUCCAACGCUCUACCGAUUGAGCUGACCGGGCGGACAUAUUAGCUACAUUAGAUGACAAGCCAUCUAUGCUGGACAUUCUUCACAAUAAAAUGUGAUGUCA